This 492-nucleotide ribosomal RNA is filed under the name uncultured bacterium. RNAcentral's name for it is "partial 16S ribosomal RNA". It matches the Rfam family "Bacterial small subunit ribosomal RNA", at positions 30 to 507 of the family's 1533-position model. The record is from RNAcentral.
AUUGAACGCUGGCGGCAUGCUUUACACAUGCAAGUCGAACGGUAACAGGCCUUCGGGUGCUGACUAGUGGCGAACGGGUGAGUAAUGCAUCGGAACGUGCCCAGAGGUGGGGGAUAACGCAGCGAAAGCUGUGCUAAUACCGCAUGUGAUCUGAGGCUGAAAGCGGGGGACCACGCAGCAAUGUUUGGCCUCGCGCCUCUGGAGCGGCCGAUGUCGGAUUAGGUAGUUGGUGGGGUAAAGGCCUACCAAGCCGACGAUCUGUAGCUGGUCUGAGAGGACGACCAGCCACACUGGGACUGAGACACGGCCCAGACUCCUACGGGAGGCAGCAGUGGGGAAUUUUGGACAAUGGGCGCAAGCCUGAUCCAGCAAUGCCGCGUGCGGGAAGAAGGCCUUCGGGUUGUAAACCGCUUUUGUACGGAACGAAAAGGCGCUGGCUAAUACCUGGGGCUGAUGACGGUACCGUAAGAAUAAGCACCGGCUAACUACGUG